This is a long non-coding RNA of Ziziphus jujuba (common jujube), 493 nucleotides long. RefSeq lists it as uncharacterized. The record is from RefSeq and is a predicted model, not a curated record. NCBI's taxonomy places the organism in Eukaryota, Viridiplantae, Streptophyta, Magnoliopsida, Rosales, Rhamnaceae. The transcript is spliced from 2 exons.
UUAAACAAUAUAAUAUCUUAAGUUUCAUUGAAUUAAAAAUUAAAUAAGCUUUACAUAACAAAAUCUUUUUGCAAUCUAGUCGAUAAUUCGAUAAUUUUUUUUUCUUAGAAAAAAAAAAUGGGACAAUUUCAAUCAUUUUAUUUUCUAAUACUAUGAAGUUGGGUCAAUGAAGGCAUAGAUUGAUUUGAAGUCUCUGGUGUAUCAAAGCUUUGGUAAUGGUGUCGGCAAUCACGCAAAGCCAGUCGCCUUCAGUAAUUUACAUAGCAAACAGUGGCGACGACUCAUACAUCCUUCAUAAACGAAUGGAAGAACAUGUCCCAGCUAAAACAGAUACACGCACAAACAUUGCAUUGAGGACCCAAUUUCUUUGAUGUGGAAUUCUCUAAACAGGCAAUGUGAAUAGCAUUGAGCGGAAAGAGCAAGCAAUGGUGCUUUACCAUGGAAUGUUGUUGAAAGGAACUUUUUUUUCCUAUAAAUACAAUUUUUCGUUUGU